CCUACGGGUGGCAGCAGUGAGGAAUAUUGGACAAUGGGGGAAACCCUGAUCCAGCGACGCCGCGUGAGUGAAGAAGUAUUUCGGUACGUAAAGCUCUAUCAGCAGGAAAGAAAAUGACGGUACCUUACUAAGAAGCCCCGGCUAACUACGUGCCAGCAGCCGCGGUAAUACGUAGGGGGCAAGCGUUAUCCGGAUUUUCUGGGUGUAAAGGGAGGGUUGACGGCUGUGCAAGUUAGAAGUGAAAUGCCGGGGCCCAACCCCGGGACUGUACUGGAAACUGUGAAGCUGGAGUGACGGAGAGGUAAGCGGAAGUCCUGGUGUAGCGGUGAAAUGCGUAGAUAGUAGGAGGAACACCGGCGGCGAAGGCGGCUUACUGGACUGUAACUGACGUUGAGGCUCGAAGGCGUGGGGAGCAAACAGGAUUAGAUACCCGAGUAGUC
Molecule: ribosomal RNA, 440 nt
Filed under: uncultured bacterium
Lineage: Bacteria
Description: partial 16S ribosomal RNA
Rfam family: Bacterial small subunit ribosomal RNA
Source: RNAcentral